CUGUGAGCUCGAUGAGUAGGGCGGGACACGUGGUAUCCUGUCUGAAUAUGGGGGGACCAUCCUCCAAGGCUAAAUACUCCUGACUGACCGAUAGUGAACCAGUACCGUGAGGGAAAGGCGAAAAGAACCCCGGCGAGGGGAGUGAAAAAGAACCUGAAACCGUGUACGUACAAGCAGUGGGAGCACAGAGCAAUCUGUGUGACUGCGUACCUUUUGUAUAAUGGGUCAGCGACUUAUAUUCUGUAGCAAGGUUAACCGAAUAGGGGAGCCGAAGGGAAACCGAGUCUUAACUGGGCGUUAAGUUGCAGGGUAUAGACCCGAAACCCGGUGAUCUAGCCAUGGGCAGGUUGAAGGUUGGGUAACACUAACUGGAGGACCGAACCGACUAAUGUUGAAAAAUUAGCGGAUGACUUGUGGCUGGGGGUGAAAGGCCAAUCAAACCGGGAGAUAGCUGGUUCUCCCCGAAAGCUAUUUAGGUAGCGCCUCGUGAAUUCAUCUCCGGGGGUAGAGCACUGUUUCGGCAAGGGGGUCAUCCCGACUUACCAACCCGAUGCAAACUGCGAAUACCGGAGAAUGUUAUCACGGGAGACACACGGCGGGUGCUAACGUCCGUCGUGAAGAGGGAAACAACCCAGACCGCCAGCUAAGGUCCCAAAGUCAUGGUUAAGUGGGAAACGAUGUGGGAAGGCCCAGACAGCCAGGAUGUUGGCUUAGAAGCAGCCAUCAUUUAAAGAAAGCGUAAUAGCUCACUGGUCGAGUCGGCCUGCGCGGAAGAUGUAACGGGGCUAAACCAUGCACCGAAGCUGCGGCAGCGACGCUUAUGCGUUGUUGGGUAGGGGAGCGUUCUGUAAGCCUGCGAAGGUGUGCUGUGAGGCAUGCUGGAGGUAUCAGAAGUGCGAAUGCUGACAUAAGUAACGAUAAAGCGGGUGAAAAGCCCGCUCGCCGGAAGACCAAGGGUUCCUGUCCAACGUUAAUCGGGGCAGGGUGAGUCGACCCCUAAGGCGAGGCCGAAAGGCGUAGUCGAUGGGAAACAGGUUAAUAUUCCUGUACUUGGUGUUACUGCGAAGGGGGGACGGAGAAGGCUAUGUUGGCCGGGCGACGGUUGUCCCGGUUUAAGCGUGUAGGCUGGUUUUCCAGGCAAAUCCGGAAAAUCAAGGCUGAGGCGUGAUGACGAGGCACUACGGUGCUGAAGCAACAAAUGCCCUGCUUCCAGGAAAAGCCUCUAAGCAUCAGGUAACAUCAAAUCGUACCCCAAACCGACACAGGUGGUCAGGUAGAGAAUACCAAGGCGCUUGAGAGAACUCGGGUGAAGGAACUAGGCAAAAUGGUGCCGUAACUUCGGGAGAAGGCACGCUGAUAUGUAGGUGAAGUCCCUCGCGGAUGGAGCUGAAAUCAGUCGAAGAUACCAGCUGGCUGCAACUGUUUAUUAAAAACACAGCACUGUGCAAACACGAAAGUGGACGUAUACGGUGUGACGCCUGCCCGGUGCCGGAAGGUUAAUUGAUGGGGUCAGCGCAAGCGAAGCUCUUGAUCGAAGCCCCGGUAAACGGCGGCCGUAACUAUAACGGUCCUAAGGUAGCGAAAUUCCUUGUCGGGUAAGUUCCGACCUGCACGAAUGGCGUAAUGAUGGCCAGGCUGUCUCCACCCGAGACUCAGUGAAAUUGAACUCGCUGUGAAGAUGCAGUGUACCCGCGGCAAGACGGAAAGACCCCGUGAACCUUUACUAUAGCUUGACACUGAACAUUGAGCCUUGAUGUGUAGGAUAGGUGGGAGGCUUUGAAGUGUGGACGCCAGUCUGCAUGGAGCCGACCUUGAAAUACCACCCUUUAAUGUUUGAUGUUCUAACGUUGACCCGUAAUCCGGGUUGCGGACAGUGUCUGGUGGGUAGUUUGACUGGGGCGGUCUCCUCCUAAAGAGUAACGGAGGAGCACGAAGGUUGGCUAAUCCUGGUCGGACAUCAGGAGGUUAGUGCAAUGGCAUAAGCCAGCUUGACUGCGAGCGUGACGGCGCGAGCAGGUGCGAAAGCAGGUCAUAGUGAUCCGGUGGUUCUGAAUGGAAGGGCCAUCGCUCAACGGAUAAAAGGUACUCCGGGGAUAACAGGCUGAUACCGCCCAAGAGUUCAUAUCGACGGCGGUGUUUGGCACCUCGAUGUCGGCUCAUCACAUCCUGGGGCUGAAGUAGGUCCCAAGGGUAUGGCUGUUCGCCAUUUAAAGUGGUACGCGAGCUGGGUUUAGAACGUCGUGAGACAGUUCGGUCCCUAUCUGCCGUGGGCGCUGGAGAACUGAGGGGGGCUGCUCCUAGUACGAGAGGACCGGAGUGGACGCAUCACUGGUGUUCGGGUUGUCAUGCCAAUGGCACUGCCCGGUAGCUAAAUGCGGAAGAGAUAAGUGCUGAAAGCAUCUAAGCACGAAACUUGCCCCGAGAUGAGUUCUCCCUGACUCCUUGAGAGUCCUGAAGGAACGUUGAAGACGACGACGUUGAUAGGCCGGGUGUGUAAGCGCAGCGAUGCGUUGAGCUAACCGGUACUAAUGAACCGUGAGGCUUAACCUUACAACGCCGAAGGUGUUU
This 2568-nucleotide ribosomal RNA is filed under the name Escherichia coli. RNAcentral describes it as "bacterial LSU rRNA". It matches the Rfam family "Bacterial large subunit ribosomal RNA", at positions 397 to 2925 of the family's 2925-position model. The record is from RNAcentral. Lineage: Bacteria; Pseudomonadati; Pseudomonadota; Gammaproteobacteria; Enterobacterales; Enterobacteriaceae.